RNAcentral lists this microRNA (19 nucleotides) under Ornithorhynchus anatinus (platypus). RNAcentral describes it as "oan-miR-122-3p". Its record names the gene oan-miR-122-3p. The record is from miRBase by way of RNAcentral. Lineage: Eukaryota; Metazoa; Chordata; Mammalia; Monotremata; Ornithorhynchidae. RNAcentral also lists the same sequence under 1 other name.
AAACGCCAUUAUCACACUA